ACUCCUACGGGAGGCAGCAGUAGGGAAUCUUCGGCAAUGGACGAAAGUCUGACCGAGCAACGCCGCGUGAGCGAUGAAGGUCUUCGGAUCGUAAAGCUCUGUUGUCAGAGAAGAACACGUGAUAGAGGAAAUGCUAUCACCUUGACGGUAUCUGACCAGAAAGCCCCGGCUAACUACGUGCCAGCAGCCGCGGUAAU
RNAcentral lists this ribosomal RNA (197 nucleotides) under uncultured bacterium. Its description in RNAcentral is "partial 16S ribosomal RNA". It matches the Rfam family "Bacterial small subunit ribosomal RNA", at positions 335 to 524 of the family's 1533-position model. The record is from RNAcentral.